GUCCUCGCGCGUUAUGCGAGGUCUGGCCUGCCCACUGAUUUAAUUGAAGGGCCGCGGUAUUCUAACCGUGCGAAGGUAGCAUAGUCAAUAGUCUCUUAAUUGGAGGCUUGAAUGAAUGGUCGGACAUGAAGAGAGCUGUCUCACAAUAUAAAAUUGAAUUUAACUUCUAUGUGAAAAGGCAUUGAUAGAUUAGAGGGACGAUAAGACCCUAUAAAACUUUACGGCUGAUUAUAAGGUCCCCUGAUAUACGAUUAAAGGGGGUCUCUAUUGGGUCGUUGCGCUGGGGCGGCGGGAAUAUAAUUUGUAGCUGUUCUUUAAAGUAGAAUAAUUAUAAUUAGAUUGUGACCCUGAAUUUUGGUUUGUAAGUGUCAGUUACUUUAGGGAUAACAGCGUUAUUUCUUCUGAGAGUUCAUAUCGAUGAAGACAUUUGCGACCUCGAUGUUGAAUUAAAGCUGUCUCCGGGAGUAGGAAUUCGGGGGAUAGGUCUGUUCGACCUUUAAAGCUUUACAUGAUUUGAGUUCAAACCGGUGUGAG
RNAcentral lists this ribosomal RNA (534 nucleotides) under Alpheus nr. amblyonyx HDBG-2014. RNAcentral's name for it is "partial 16S ribosomal RNA". It matches the Rfam family "Bacterial large subunit ribosomal RNA", at positions 1832 to 2625 of the family's 2925-position model. Lineage: Eukaryota; Metazoa; Arthropoda; Malacostraca; Decapoda; Alpheidae. The record is from RNAcentral.